UUCUUCCCUUCUCCUCUCUCAAUUUCUUCCUCCCUCUUCCUUUCUCUACUUGGGCUUAUCAUGCCCUAUUUUGAGCUGCCGGAUCCGCGACCUCAAGCUUAUCGAAACCAAGGUAAGGUCCCUCUUUCGUUCUCUUUCUGAUCAACCCAUCAGUGGCUAGAAUCCGGCAAAAGGGUUGUCAAGAGAAAGAAGAAAGAAGAAAAAAAGGACAACAAAAGAAAGAGAAGAAGAAAA
RNAcentral lists this long non-coding RNA (234 nucleotides) under Phoenix dactylifera (date palm). RNAcentral's name for it is "long non-coding RNA (PDAC_LNC016989)". The record is from RNAcentral. Lineage: Eukaryota; Viridiplantae; Streptophyta; Magnoliopsida; Arecales; Arecaceae.